Lingula anatina is the source of this 441-nucleotide long non-coding RNA. NCBI's taxonomy places the organism in Eukaryota, Metazoa, Brachiopoda, Lingulata, Lingulida, Lingulidae. The record is from RefSeq and is a predicted model, not a curated record.
UGUACCUGCAAUUGUGUGUGAGGUUCAGUCUUUGGCUACUUUUACAGAGAGUGACCUUCAAGAUUCUUCAGAGCUUUCACCAGAAGAUGUUAUUAGAUUUGGCGAUAAGCACAAGCUCCAGGCUUUGGAAGAAACUGUGAUUGGAAGGUGUCACAGUCAAUGCCACAAAGAACAGACAUUAUUUGUCAACUGUAUAUGCAAGUCUGGACAUGAGCCCAGCAGAUCAGCAGGUCUUUUUAGAUCAUAUAGGUCAUGAAAAAAACAUCAACAGAGAUAAUUACCAAUGUCCAAUUGGACUCAGGGAGGUUAAAGUAAUGGGCCGCAUGUUGGGAGAUCUUGAAAAUGUACCAGAACCAGCAACGGAUUUAACCACUAUACAAACAGUUGAGGCAAGUGAAACUGAAACUAAAGAGAUUGGUAAAAAUGAAGAACUUCAGUCAG